RNAcentral lists this ribosomal RNA (549 nucleotides) under Triticum aestivum (bread wheat). RNAcentral's name for it is "partial small subunit ribosomal RNA". The record is from RNAcentral. Lineage: Eukaryota; Viridiplantae; Streptophyta; Magnoliopsida; Poales; Poaceae.
AUGGACGCAGCGGCGACCACCGCCGACCUGCUCUCCGCGCUGGCGCCCUCCUGGAGCGCGGCGGUGGUGCUGGCCUCCUACCUCGCGUACCUCGCCGCCGCCGGCGCCCUCCUCCCUGGCAAGCUCGCCGUCGGCGCCGUCCUCCCCAACUCCUCCCGUCUCCACUACCGUUGCAAUGCCGACUCUAACAGGCGCACGCGCGCGUAUGCAGGUAUGCUCUCGAUGCCGCUGCUCCUGGGGCUCUUCGCGCUUGGCGUCUACAUGGGCUGGAUGACUCCCACGGUCGUGGCUGACCGUGGGCUCGAGCUGCUGUCGAUGAUCUUCAUUUUAAGUGUCAUUGCCUUGGACAUAAUCAGGUUCAAGAGCCUCAUGGACAAGAGUAAGCUCGAUGCACAACCUGAGCUCUUCAUCAACAUCAUUCCUGACAAGGCGACCACCACGCUCACGAUCGUCGACAGUGGCAUUGGCAUGACCAAGCCGGACCUCGUCAACAACCUCGAGACCAUCGUGCAUAAGCUAAACUCUGUUAUUUAUGUCUGCCCUGCAUAA